Molecule: unclassified non-coding RNA, 206 nt
Filed under: Hevea brasiliensis (rubber tree)
Lineage: Eukaryota; Viridiplantae; Streptophyta; Magnoliopsida; Malpighiales; Euphorbiaceae
Source: RNAcentral
GCCUGACCAAAUGGCUAGCUCCUAAAAUAAGAAUCAAAUAUGUGACUGCGAUUGAUCUUAAAUAACACAAGAGUAAAAGAUUAUUUAAUAAAACUUUUAAAGUCACCUUGUGGUACUAAUGUCAAAUUGAAGCUUUUUGCAAACACAAUUUGAAACCAACAGAAGGUGAUUGCCUACAAGUAUUUGAGAAGGUGAGCAUUACUUCA